RNAcentral lists this ribosomal RNA (253 nucleotides) under uncultured bacterium. RNAcentral describes it as "partial 16S ribosomal RNA". It matches the Rfam family "Bacterial small subunit ribosomal RNA", at positions 524 to 776 of the family's 1533-position model. The record is from RNAcentral.
UACGUAGGGGGCAAGCGUUGUCCGGAAUUAUUGGGCGUAAAGAGCGCGUAGGCGGUCCGAUAAGUCGGCUGUGAAAGUCAGGGGCUCAACCCUUGGAAGCCGGCCGAUACUGUCGGACUAGAGUCCGGAAGAGGCGAGUGGAAUUCCCGGUGUAGCGGUGAAAUGCGCAGAUAUCGGGAGGAACACCAAUGGCGAAGGCGGCAUCCUGGACCACGACUGACACUGAAAAGCGAAAGCCAGGGGAGCAAACGGG